Lonchura striata (white-rumped munia) is the source of this 5455-nucleotide non-coding RNA. NCBI's taxonomy places the organism in Eukaryota, Metazoa, Chordata, Aves, Passeriformes, Estrildidae. The record is from RefSeq and is a predicted model, not a curated record.
UUUGUAGUCUUUUGGUUUAUUGAAUCAGCAGGAAGGUUUUUCAAAUAAAAUAUUUUUAUAUCCUUAAAAUAGUGUUUCAAAGGGCCUUGGAAGGUCACUUAUAUUCUGAAUAUCAAUUGAUGAUAAUUGAGAUUGAGAGAUAAUCCAGAGUGAAUCAGAUGUCUUUGAGAUAGAAGAGAGAAGGAAGAUAUUUCUUGGAUAUAUUUUGUCAUGCUAGAAAGCAAAAUUAUUACAAUUCAUUUGCACUAGAGUUUUUUAAGCAACAGAAGCUUUUUGUUCUUAUUACUGUAUUACAGCUGUUCUAAAUGUUGAACAUAGUAAAAACAUCUGACUAAACCAUUCUUGCCAGCAUAAGAAUCAUCUGUAUAUAUAGUCUGGUAGCAAAAGAGGCAUUUUCAAAGUAAUUUUAUCACAUAAUUUGGAGAUUGCUUUUUCUUGUAGCUUGGGGUCUGCUUUAAGCAAGAGGACUGCAUCACAUAAAGUCUGCAGAGUCUGUUUGAUUUGCUUUGUAACUGAUGUUAAAGUACUGGCAGAUGCUUGGUCAGCACAGUUCCCAUUUGAUCUCUGCCAAGGCGUUUUUUCUCAGUGACCUGCUUUAGCUUCUUCAGCAGCAGUCACUUGGCUCUUUCCCCUUGGCAAAAUUGCCUGUUCUGGUUAUUGUCUCAUUUAGGUUUGCUUGGUUUUCUUAAUUUCCAAACUCAGAUAUGUUGUCCCAAAUGCACUUUAAAUUAAUGUGUUUGCAAUAUGCUUUUCAAGUCUUUUGCUGUAGUGUAUUACACUUGAGAACUGCUGUCACUGAAUUUGUGGUUCCCUUUCCUUACUUCUUGUUCCUUCAGCGUGCUAUUGAGUGACUGAUUGGCCUUCAGGUGUCCAGAGGUGGUCAGUGCUAAAUCCCAUCUACCUUAAGCCUGUCUUCAAAUGGCUAAUAAAUCUUUAAGGAAGUAAUCUUAAACUGAUACUUCAACAAUAAACUUUCCUUCCAGUGACAUGUGGUUUAGAAAUCUUGAAGCAUUUCUUCUCUUUUAAUCAUAGGUGGACAAAGGGCUGUCUUAGUAGGGCAGGAGGUGGACAAAAGAGGAGAAGGGAGGAGAAUCUUGCAACUUUUGGCAUCACAUAAGCCAUUCAUGGUGUUUUCUGACAGUAUGCUUGGUCAUUAACUGUGUGUUCUUUAUGGCAAGGUACCUGUAUUUAGUUUGGAACUUGAUGCCAGAGGUGUGACCUCCUUUGGAGCACUGCUUCAUGCAGAAAUUGUGUCUUACAUGACUAGUGUAGUACCUGGUCCAUAAGUUUUUUUUGUCUUGAAUUUAUAUUCUUGUGAUAAAUGCAUAAGAUGAGUGAAUGAAUUAAUAAGUGAGUGAAUGAAUGAAUAAAUGAAGCCUUUUAGAAAAGACUUAAAAGAUUGAAAGGGUUGUGAUGUCCCAAAGAAAAUUUUAUUACUUCAGUUUUGCUCCCGUAGUUCAUGGGAAUUAAGAUUUUGGCAAUGCCUUGUUCAUCUUCACUUAUAUAGUCUCCUUUCUCUCUCCUUCUACCCCUUGUUGUGUUGGGUUUUUCUACUUAUCUUCUCUUUCCUGAUUCAUUCUUUUCUGUUUGUCCCUCUGGAAUACUGCCUACCAAAGAAUUUCACUAGUGGUUUAAGUACUUCAAUUUGCAUUGUACAUUUGCUGCAGACAAAUGAACAGGUUUGUGGGGUACGUAAAAGCAUUCUGCUUAUCUAGCAGGCAGGAAUUUGGAGCAACACUCCUCUUCAUUUUGUAUGCUGAACUAUUGUUUGCUGGUGAAAUCAGUUCCACAUAUGCCUCUAUUAGGCAAUCCCACUGCAAAGGGUGUGAGCAAAUUACAUGCAUUUGUAGCCAAGCUUUUCUCUCCAUCACUUACAGACUAGUAAUUCAAGUUAAGCAAGUUAUUGUCCAUACUAGCACAUGCUGUCUGUUUUCCUGAUCCAGAUGUAAUAGAAAGCAGUGAAAUAGUGAUACUUUUAAAUGAGGUUUUUAAAGUAAUUUUUCAUUGCUUGAUAGAUUUUUGAAAGUAUUUAUUUACACUGCUCUGUUAGUGCAGAUAACUGUUCUAGUACAAUAAAUGAAAAAUAAAACUGAUUCUGUAUUUUUGAAUUAACAUAUUUGAUGACAGAGGGGAAGGGGAAAAAUUCCAGUGGGAAGGGAGGGGGAGAUAGAGAACUGACCUGGGUCUCAUAAGGAAUGUUUACACCUUGACUUGGAAUAUAGAAAAAGAAGUACAGAUAGCUAUUUUAUUUGAAUCAUGGACUUGCCAAUUAGCCAUCAAGUGCUUCCAUCUGUGAAAUAGUUGAUCAGAUGGGUUAGCUGGGAUGUUUCCAGAUUAGGGCAUUGUAAAUGGCACUUGAAAACUGUCACUUUGAUUAAGAGGUUUCAAAUACUGCACUGCUUGGUGCUGUGGAACCUUUUUCUCCUCAUAGGAUCUUGGCUUUUUUAGAACAUGUUCUUCCUAUUUAGUAAAUCUGUGGCACCAUGGGAACUUGGGAGACCUGCUGCUGAUCUAAGGUUCUGCUUCAUGUGUUAAUCUACUCAGGGUGGUUAUUGGAGGACAGCACAGUGCACUCUUUUGUGGGGCUUCCAAAGAGGAGUUGAUGGUCUGGCAGACAGAGGAGGGUCAAGCUCUGUGUAGAUAAUUCCCAAUUAACAAUUAGAUGCAAAUUUCCUUGAGUUACUUCAUUAAGCUGAUGUGUCAUUUGAAGUACAUGACUUUUUCUUGCAUCUUACAUCUUUUCUAUAUAAACAAAAACAUCCACCAACAAUAAAAAACCUCAAACCCAAAACAAACCCAGACACCCCCAUCCCUUCUCUCCAGAAAAAACCCCAAAACAAGAAAACAACCCAGUACCAUGCCAGCAACCCAAACAGGAAAACCUGCAAUACAUUAACAUCUUACUGAAAAUUAUUUUGGUUCAUUGAUUCUUGAAACAGCUUCUGUUUUAAAGUGUGUAAAUGUGUUGUCUUUAAGUACCUUUUUCAUUGUAAAGCUGUAGAGUGUUCUGGUAUCUCAAUAUCUGUUUAGCUGUAUGACUUUCUCCUUUCUGUGUCUCCUGGUUAUGUAUGCUUUAUGUGGUUUGAAUUGUGGUAGUGCACUGUUGUCUGCUUCUCAUACGUCUUUUGAAACUUCAAAUGCACCUUUUGAGAAUAUUUUGCCAGGGAAGUAAAUCUGAAUUGUAGCUCUUUAAAUUGUGCAUAGUUUCUGUGCCGUUGCUUCUGAGACAAUUUCCAGCAAAGUUCUCAAGUACAAAGAAUGUUACUAUUUCUAGAACUCAAAUGUAAUUCCCAGCAGAUGAGAUGAUGUACAAUUUUGAUGGAUUAUUCCAGUUUUACUUAUUUUCCCUGGAAGCUGUCAACCCAUUUAAGGAAUAAAAAAAAUUCUCAAUGACAAAUAUUUUUCAUCCAUUAAAAAUAUCCAACAUGAAAUCCCAUAGAAAGUUCAGAAGACUCAAUUGCCUGCAUUAUCUUCCAUAGAAAGUCUCAACAUCAGUUUUUAUGUACAAAAUAUGUGGUUUUGUUUUAAGGAGAAGAAAACCACCUUAGAGAUAAUAAACUCUGCUGUUUCACUUACUUUCACUGUCUGGGGUGAAUGUUUUACUGCACUGCUUAGUGUUUUAGAACAGGGCUGUUCAAUGAAAACUUCAUAUUAAAUUUAGGGUCCAGGUGUGGCCUGGGUCUGGUUUUGCUGGAGAUAACUCCAUGGGUCAUAUUAGGCUUGUUUGAAAGUUGCUGGAGGUAGCAUACAUUUGAAGUACAGUUGACUCAUUGUAAUGUGAUUUGUCUCUUAAGGAGCUAAUUGGGAGAGGAAAAGAGAAACCUGCUAGAAUUGGUUUAGGAGCAGUCAUAAUUUUACUUAAACACUGUGUGUAAUUUGUUUUAUAACGGCUGUCUUAAAGUAGGAUGGCUGCACUACAGACAUGUCCUACAUAUUAAUCACAAACAUACAUAAAGCUAAAACUAAAAAAGCUAGUGGAUUGUGUCUGAGCAUCAGUUUCCUCUGAUCUGCUAUUUUACUCUGGAGAACAUUUUUAGCUGCCUCUUCUUGGCCUCAGAUCAUAAACUUCCGUAUUUCUGAUAAUUAGGCAAUUAGAUUCUUUCUCCUCAAUCUAAUUGCCAGUGUAGUCCAGCUGACUUUUGACUUCUCCAAAAGAGACAAAGGAGCUUGGACAAGGAAAUGAGUCAUAAUGUAGCCAUAAUGAGAAAGAACAUAGGAAAGAAAGGGUAAAGAAGAAGAGAUAUCUUGGUGCAUUUUGCAUUGUACCUAUUCACUUUUAGUGUUCCUUUCUGCAAGCAGAAACAAGAGUGAUCAGUUUAAUUUUUUUCUCUUAGAAAUGAUAUCUUCUUUCAGAAAUUCCAUGCAAUUGAGUAUUAAGUUGCAAUGCUGCUAUGCAUCACCUUUGAGCGAGGGUUUCUUUUCUUCCUGCUGUGUAGAAGAGUCCUCUAAGUACUUCUGGGAAGUUUGAAGUGUUUCUGUGUUGUAGUGGUCUGGUUUGGAGGGUGGUGGGUGUUGGGUGUUGGUUGUUUUCUUCAAGUGUUGCAGGCAACUGACCUUGCUGCAUAUUGCCACUGAGUCUCCCAGUUCACCUGCUUGUAUCCAGAGGACCAGCUCUUCACAACACUGAACCUUCAGGCAUACAGAACCCAGUGCAUUCUUCUUCAUAUUGAGGAGAACUGUGUUUCGAAUAAGAUAAUUAAAAAUCUACAUUGGAGCAAGACUACAGGGGGCAGACAAAAUUCGAAAUCUUGUGUCAGAUGCUGAUUCGUCAUCUGCCUUGAGACUCAGUUCUAAAUCCCAAUACUGUCUGUAAUGCUGAUGGGAGUAGAUAACAGGUUAGUCCUGGCUUUUUUCUGGAAUGAAAUCGACCUCUGUAUUUUCUUUUUACUUCCAGUAGACUGAGGCUGUGAAAAGCAAUAGUUAUUUUCAAAAAGAUGUAUAGUGUUACUGAGAACUUGUUUUGUGUCCCUAAUCUGACAUUGUCAUAGACUCAUACAAUGGUUUGUGUUGGAAGGGACAUUCAAAGGUCAUUCAGUCCAAAUUGUCUCUAUGCUUGGUAAGGAAUAUUGACUGCAGUAGUACAGCACACCUACCCAUUUGAGUUAUGUGUCUCAGUGAAUGUGUAAAAUGGGGCAAAGAUAGAGGAAACACUGACCCAGAGAAGAUUACACUUAAGCAGCCAUUUCAUACCACAGUUGUGUUGGGAGCAUUAUGGGAAGUCUGACUAUUGCAAAUUGCAUCAAGGUUAUGUAUGUAAGUAAUUUUAUAUCAUGAAUACAUGUUAAUAUUGAGUAGUAAACAUUUAUUUUUAAUAAUAAUGUUCUCUGAGUGUCUCAUUAAACUAGAGAUGAUUUUUGUUCGAAGUUCUGCUUAGUUAAAAGUUACCAAAUAACUAGCAAACCAACAAAAAAAAAGUAAAAAAGCCCCAACCAAACAAAAAAACUCAGAAAAAAAC